GGAUGAAGAACAAGUCAAGAAAAAGAAGCUCACUUCAUGGGUUUGGGAGCAUUUCACAAGGUAUGAUGUAGAAGUGGAGCAAACUGAUGGUUCCAUUGUUAAGCAAAAAUGGGCAAAAUGCAAAAAAUGUGCACAUAAAGCUAAGGCUGAUGCCUUUCGUUAUAUUGUCUUGUGGACGCGUGGUUGAUGCCUUUCGUUCGAAGCUUAAACCUGAAAUUAUUGAAGCCUUGGUUUGUACUAAGGAUUGGAAGAUUGCUUCAGAGAAAGAUUUGGAGUGUGAAAUAAAAACUAUAGCUGAAGCUAUGAAUGCUAUGGAGGUGGACGAUGAUGUCGCGACUUGAGAUCUUCAAACAAGCUUGGAUUGCUUGCACUAUUUUAUGCCAUUUGAAAAUUACCUUUUAUUGUAAUAGUCUAUUGUGUUGAACUAUCUUGUGCUAUGUUAGACUCUUGUGUGAUGUGAACUUAUCGCUAUUAUAUUUGAACUAUUGUGUUAGACUAUUGUAUGCUAUGAACUUAUUGUUAUAUUGUCUUGUUGA
Long non-coding RNA from Zea mays, 536 nucleotides. RefSeq lists it as uncharacterized. The record is from RefSeq and is a predicted model, not a curated record. NCBI's taxonomy places the organism in Eukaryota, Viridiplantae, Streptophyta, Magnoliopsida, Poales, Poaceae. The transcript has 2 exons.